Molecule: ribosomal RNA, 1055 nt
Filed under: uncultured crenarchaeote
Lineage: Archaea; Thermoproteati; Thermoproteota
Description: bacterial SSU rRNA
Rfam family: Archaeal small subunit ribosomal RNA
Source: RNAcentral
CGCGGGAUUGGCACGGGGGGACGGGGUGCAGCAGGCGCGAAACCUUUACAAUGCACGAAAGUGUGAUAAGGGAACCCUAAGUGCUUAGUUUUCGCUAGGCUUUUUUCAAGAACAAAAAUCUUGGAGAAUAAGUGGUGGGUAAGACCGGUGCCAGCAGCCGCGGUAACACCGGCGCCACGAGUGGGGAUCAUGUUUAUUGGGCCUAAAGCGUCCGUAGCCGGUUUGAUAAAUCUUUUGUGAAAUUGUCGUGCUUAACACAACAGCGUGCAAAAGACACUAUCAGACUUGGAACUGGGAGGAGUCAGAGGUAUUCUGGGGGGAGCGGUAAAAUGUUAUAAUCCUCAGAGGACCACCUGUGGCGAAGGCGUCUGACUAGAACAGCUUCGACGGUGAGGGACGAAAGCCAGGGGAGCAAAACGGAUUAGAUACCCGAGUAGUCCUGGCUGUAAACGCUGCGAGCAAGGUGUUGCAUAUCUUUCGUGGAUGUGCAGUAUCGAAACGAAGGUGUUAAGCUCGCCGCCUGGGAAGUAUAGUCGCAAGACCGAAACUUAAAGGAAUUGGCGGGGGAGCACCACAAGGGGUGCGGCGUGCGGUUUAAUCUAACUCAACACAGAGAAUCUCACCAGCAGCGACGGCAGAAUGAAGGUCAGAUUGAAGGUUUUACCAGACAAGCCGAGAGGUAUUGCAUGGCCGUCGUCAGCUCGUGCCGUAAGGUGUCCUGUUAAGUCAGGCAACGAGCGAGACCUGCAUCUACACUUGCUAACGAAUCUCUUAAGAUGAUCGAGCACAGUGUAGGGACUGCCUUCGAAAGGAGGAGGAAGGUGCAGGCUACGGUAGGUCUGUAUGGUCCGAAUCUGCUGGGCUACACGCGCGCAACAAUGGUAAAGACAAUGGGAUGCAACUCUGAAAAGAGAAGCUAAUCCUCGAAACUUUAUCUUAGUCCAGAUUGAGGAUUGUAACUCAUCCUCAUGACGAUGGAAUCCCUAGUAACCAGAAGUCAUCAGCUUCUAGUGAAUAUGUCCCUGCUCCUUGCACGAAUUCGCCGAAUCACUAGU